GUCCCCAUAGUUCAACGGAUAGAACAAUAGUUUCCUAAACUGCAGAUCUGGGUUCGAUUCCCAGUGGGGGCACCA
RNAcentral lists this transfer RNA (75 nucleotides) under Coraliomargarita sp. TMED73. RNAcentral describes it as "tRNA-Arg". It matches the Rfam family "tRNA". From Rfam's summary of the family: Transfer RNA (tRNA) molecules are approximately 80 nucleotides in length. Their secondary structure includes four short double-helical elements and three loops (D, anti-codon, and T loops). The record is from RNAcentral. Lineage: Bacteria; Pseudomonadati; Verrucomicrobiota; Opitutia; Puniceicoccales; Coraliomargaritaceae. RNAcentral also lists the same sequence under 1 other name.